Molecule: long non-coding RNA, 306 nt
Filed under: Bos indicus x Bos taurus (hybrid cattle)
Lineage: Eukaryota; Metazoa; Chordata; Mammalia; Artiodactyla; Bovidae
Description: lncRNA (ENSBIXG00005029372.1)
Source: RNAcentral
UUCCAUUUCCUCCUCCAGGAGACCUUCCUGACCCAGGAAUCGAACCUGCAUCUCCUGAACCGUGGGAGCAUUCUUUACCAGCUGAGACAUCGGGAAGCCUGGUAAACUGCUGCUGAAAUAUUCCACGUCCCCAGAGCCAGAGGCCCAAGAAAGAAAACCAGCUGGGACUCUGAUGACAAUGACCCCCAAGUGGCUGGUCCAGAGCAACGAAGUGGCUGUGUGACUGGCCGGCUGGCUCGGUGACGGGAAGGAGGGAAGUGAGGGAAAGCAAUCACUUGCUGUUCCAGGAACGAUGGCUGUGCCUUA